UACGUAGGGUGCAAGCGUUAAUCGGAAUUACUGGGCGUAAAGCGUGCGCAGGCGGUUUUGUAAGUCUGUCGUGAAAUCCCCCGGGCUCAACCUGGGAAUUGCGAUGGAGACUGCAAGGCUAGAAUCUGGCAGAGGGGGGUAGAAUUCCACGUGUAGCAGUGAAAUGCGUAGAGAUGUGGAGGAACACCGAUGGCGAAGGCAGCCCCCUGGGUCAAGAUUGACGCUCAUGCACGAAGGCGUGGGGAGCAAACAGG
Molecule: ribosomal RNA, 254 nt
Filed under: uncultured bacterium
Lineage: Bacteria
Description: partial 16S ribosomal RNA
Rfam family: Bacterial small subunit ribosomal RNA
Source: RNAcentral